GCCAGGUGUGGUGGCAUUUGGUUAUAGUCCCAGCUACUUGGGAGGCUGAGGCUAGAGGAUUGUUUAAGCCCAGGAGUUCUGGGUUGUAGUGUACUAUGCUGAUCAGGUGUCUGUACUAAGUUUGGCAUCAAUAUGGUGACCUCCCGGGAGUGCGGGAUCAACAGGUUGCCUAAGGAGGGGUGACCAGCCCAAGUUCAGAACCCCCAUGCUGA
This 212-nucleotide small RNA is filed under the name Cervus elaphus hippelaphus. It matches the Rfam family "Metazoan signal recognition particle RNA", at positions 1 to 227 of the family's 299-position model. From Rfam's summary of the family: The signal recognition particle (SRP) is a universally conserved ribonucleoprotein. It is involved in the co-translational targeting of proteins to membranes. Lineage: Eukaryota; Metazoa; Chordata; Mammalia; Artiodactyla; Cervidae. The record is from RNAcentral.